GGGCGUUUAACUCAGCGGGAGAGUGCAAUCCUCACACGGUUGAAGUCACUGGUUCAAAUCCAGUAACGCCCA
Molecule: transfer RNA, 72 nt
Filed under: Deltaproteobacteria bacterium
Lineage: Bacteria; Pseudomonadati; Myxococcota; Myxococcia
Also listed under: 1 other name
Description: tRNA-Val
Rfam family: tRNA
About the family: Transfer RNA (tRNA) molecules are approximately 80 nucleotides in length. Their secondary structure includes four short double-helical elements and three loops (D, anti-codon, and T loops).
Source: RNAcentral